AGACAAGAGUAAGAUCCAGCCAAGCACCCUGGCUGACUCCACGCUGCAGAAAGACUCUUACUUGUACCACAGAUGAGCCUCAGAUUCAUGACAAUCUUCCUACCUCAUCCUCCUAGGUCAAGGGAUCAAAGGGCAGGAGCAAAGCAGAUGCAGUGGUCCUCAACCCCAAAGGAAUCUUCAACCAAAGAGAAACAAGAGUUGUCUGAGAUCCACUUGCUAGCUCUCUUGAAGUCAGCCUUCUCUCGCUGUGCCUCGCAGCCAUAAGGCCCCUCCUCUGGUAAUGGCCCUCUUCCUGGGACAACUGCCAAGUAAAUAUGUCAUUUCCCUAGAUCUCUUCUCAUCAUUCACUUUGGGGAGGCUGGCCACAAAUGAAGAUAAUAUUCAAAUUUGCCCUAUUAUUUCAAUCACCUUGUUUCCAACAAUCCAAAGCAUUUGACCUAGAAAAUAAGGGAUUUGGAAGCAAAAAUUGUCAAGGGAGAUGAGGAGAUGCCUUCAGUUCUUCCAGAACAGAGCCUCAGAACCUGUGAGCUGGAUCAUUGUACUUUACACUUAACCUCUGGCCCCUCUUCCUGGAGGGCCAUCUAUACCUGACCUUGCUCCCUGCCUGUGGCCAAGUACAUCAGCUUUAGCAGUCAAUCUCUCUUCCCCAGGCAGUAGAGACUUGUUCAGGAAAUCAGAAAUGACUCCAAUCAAGGCCUUGUCCAAAGCCAUCGAGGCGGGAUUGCUCAUCUGAUCGGAGUGAACCCGGAGCUGCAGAAUGCCACAUCUGCCCUCUGUGUGGGGACAGCCUGAGAAUGAAGUCAACAGAGCAGAAGGAAGCCAGAGGUGGCACUUGGCACCGGGGGCCAGCCAUGCCCGGCCCCUGUCUUGAGAGUUAAAUCCUUCCUUCAAGCUUGAACAAGGGGGAAUUGGGUUUCAUUCCUAGCAGACAAAGUGCCAACCAAAAUGAGGGUCCAUGGGCUCUCCAACUCAGUGCUCUGCCUGUGCGGUACUGUAGACACAUUCUAGGGUUGACAGGGACAUACAUGUCCCUUCAAACCUUGUCUGCCCCAGGGGCUAUGAGAGUGACUCAUACUUUCUUGCCUAUGAGUUUUAAAGAAAACAUAGAAGAUUGUGUUUUUAAUUUCUUUCUUUAAAAAAAAUGGAUUGCUAU
Molecule: long non-coding RNA, 1153 nt
Organism: Mus musculus (house mouse)
Lineage: Eukaryota; Metazoa; Chordata; Mammalia; Rodentia; Muridae
Product: predicted gene, 41110
Exons: 4
Source: RefSeq, a predicted model, not a curated record